Long non-coding RNA from Arvicola amphibius (Eurasian water vole), 2254 nucleotides. RefSeq lists it as uncharacterized. The transcript is spliced from 3 exons. NCBI's taxonomy places the organism in Eukaryota, Metazoa, Chordata, Mammalia, Rodentia, Cricetidae. The record is from RefSeq and is a predicted model, not a curated record.
ACCCAGAAAUCAGCAGAAACAUAUCACUCCUGCCUCCUGGUGAGUCAUCCUCCCAGCCAAGGGCAGAUGAGAAUUAUGGCACUGGCCCAGAAGCAAUAGAAAAGCCAGAGGCUGAGGAGCAGGGGGGUCACAGGUCUCUGAUGUUCCUGUCCACAGUCAGUUCCUGACCACAAGAAGUGAGAGACAUGAACAAGGAUAAAGCAGUCAACCUCCCUUUGGACGGGUCACCGAUGAAGCUGAAACAGUCCUUUGUCCUGUCCUCACUUAAGCGCAGAUGGUAUCUACCUGGGAUUCACUUGUGGUUAUGAACACUGACUUUGGACUUCCGGUCUCAUCCCUCCUUCAGUCCAGCGGAUUUUCAGGGGUCUGUGGGAGAGGCAAGUGCAUUUUGCCCAUGGAAAGGAUUCGCAGUGUGCAGAACGUUUUUUGGAAGAUGCCUCCUCCCCAUUUCGUCUUCUACAGCGUGGCUUUCAUGCUGGUGUCCAGACAUGGGGCCUGACACUCCUGCCACCUUGUCGCCACAGCCUCAGAUUCGGAAGACAGAGAUGCUUCAGCUUUGGUUGCCCAAAAGUUGUGCUUAGAGUCUUGUGCCACCUCCAGCCGUGUCCUGAGGCUGCUCUUGCAUGAAGAAGCCACAUGGACAGGUUAUCUGCAGGCUGUUUGACCAGCGGUCCUGAGCAUCAAGACCUACUAGACAGUGUGCCGGAUGUGAGUGACUGCAGUCUCCAGCCACAAAGUGUCCUUGGUCCACUAGGCCACCCCCAGCUUCCCUAGGUGAGACCUCAGACACCGUGUGUACAGGCAGGCUGUUCACACUGUGUUCCUUCCAAACCCCAUACUUCAGAAUCCCUGUGUAUAAAUUUGAGGUAUUUUGUUAAACAGUAACCAGGAGAGCUAUGUGGCCACUACACACUGACAUCUGUGGAACUUGGAACUAUUUUAAGCAAAGCCCAGGGAAACUGGCAUAAAAUAUUUAUGGUAUAGCAAACAGAACAAGAAAGAGAUGGGACUAUUGGGACACAGGCAGGGAAUACUGGUUGGGAUCGAGGUAGGGCAACAAUGGUUUGAAUUGGGCCUAGGGCAGAGGCUAGGUGUAACUAGAAAAUGCCUUUCGAGCAAGAAUGUCCAGCUCAGGGCUGAGAGCUGACGAGAUCUGUUUGGACAGCAGAUGCUUUUGGCUGACCCAUAAGACACUGACUUCAUUCCUCUCCCUGUGAUUAUAAAACAAAAACAAUAAAAAAAUCUAUGUUUGAAAAACCAACGUCUGACCCAGAAAAGAACAAAGAAAAGGAAGACAGUCCAGUAAGAGCAGCGGCCUUGCAUAUGGUGGAGCAGGAAGAAGGCCAAGUGUAGAGCUCUAAUUAAACCAUCGGACCACUAGCACCCAGCCCAGCCUUUGGGAGAGUGGAGGCCUGGAGGCCUCUCUCCAGCUCAGAGCUGACGGGCAGUACUGAGAAGCAAUGGGAAGACAGCCUGGAGAAGCACAGAACAUGAGUGGUCACCAAGCUCUGAAGAUCCCAGACAACGUCUACUCUUGAGGUGACCAUAAGCCUAAUGCUGAAAUGAACUUUAGGGAGCCACUCCCUGAGGAAACGGAAACACAGGACCCACGGGUUCUGAGAAGGCUGAUGAGGUCAACAGAGCCGGGCACAGACAAGGUGGAAGGAAACUCAGUGUCCUCCCUUCUUCCCUUCUUCAUCUUUCCUUCCCCUUCUUCCCCUUUUCUCCCUUCUUUCCCUCUUCUCUCAUUGUAUGGAAAAGUUCCACAAAGCCUGAACCCCAGGACACCAUUGCUAAACUCUGCAGUUACACAGAAGAUAUGCAUCACUCCCUGGAAGGAAGGGUCCGGGUGACACAGAGAACACCUAUAUACAACACCCUGUGCUAAUGGAGCAUCUAGAGCUAAGUACUAGGCAGGCCUGGACCGUGACCAGUUCUGGCGCCCACAGACUAUGAGAAAACAAGCUAUCAUCUAGAGGGGACAAAACACACAGUAACACAAGGAACAUCAUAAUUAGGUCUACAUCUUGGAGAGAAUGGCAAAGCCGGAGAGAACUCUUCUGUAGGAAUUCCUACCACGGGUAGCCUUUAAGUUACCAGCCCACUUGGGCAUGGCCUCUUAGACUAUUUAUGCCCAUGUAAAGCACACAUCAGGCCUCUUUUCUGGCUGCGGGAUUCGGUUGCUGUUCUCCAUUCCAGUAGAGGAUUGUGAUUUGAGUCUACCCCUUAAUAAAUAACCAUCUAUUAUUCUCAA